UGUACUGGUACUGGCAGAGGGAGCAGCGGGCACGAGAGAUGAAGAGGGUUUUCCACCGCGCGGUUUCUUGGGGUCAGGCGGAAACCCUCUUCUCCUCCAGUCCACGCCGGCCGUGAGGAGGGUUCCGUCGCUCCGGUAUGCCGGCGGCAGCGACCCCGUCCCCGUCCCCUUCGCUCAGGAGUCGGCUCUGGCAUCAGUUUUUGCAACCAACCAUGGUUUGGAGCUUCCUCUUGGAUAGUGGAUGACACAAGAGCUGUUUCUUCCUACAAACAACUGUCCAGUGAUGGAAAACUUAGUAUGCACAGAUUCUGGGAUUCUUCUUGAAUUCCAUGACCCUUAUUUUAAUAGAUUCUGAAACGCAUCCAUAGGUGGUAAUACCGUCUUCUUAUUGGGUCCCAAAGCUCAGUAUCUGCUGUGCAAAAUCAUGAGGCUGAGUGUGGAUUGUCAUGUAAUAGAUAAUACAAAGUUUGUGGGCCAUGGUUUCAUGACAUUUCCUACAAUUUUCAGUGUUUUUGGUCAACCAACAUUAGAUUUUGAAUCCUGAUAUAUAUAACAUUGUACUUUAUGACCGUAUAAUAAUCAAAUUGUGACAUUUGUAUCUGAACUGUACUA
Molecule: long non-coding RNA, 612 nt
Organism: Sorghum bicolor (sorghum)
Lineage: Eukaryota; Viridiplantae; Streptophyta; Magnoliopsida; Poales; Poaceae
Exons: 2
Source: RefSeq, a predicted model, not a curated record